UACGAAGGGGGCUAGCGUUGCUCGGAAUCACUGGGCGUAAAGGGUGCGUAGGCGGGUCUUUAAGUCAGGGGUGAAAUCCUGGAGCUCAACUCCAGAACUGCCUUUGAUACUGAAGAUCUUGAGUCCGGGAGAGGUGAGUGGAACUGCGAGUGUAGAGGUGAAAUUCGUAGAUAUUCGCAAGAACACCAGUGGCGAAGGCGGCUCACUGGCCCGGUACUGACGCUGAGGCACGAAAGCGUGGGGAGCGAACAGG
RNAcentral lists this ribosomal RNA (253 nucleotides) under uncultured bacterium. RNAcentral describes it as "partial 16S ribosomal RNA". It matches the Rfam family "Bacterial small subunit ribosomal RNA", at positions 524 to 776 of the family's 1533-position model. The record is from RNAcentral.